UACGAAGGGGGCUAGCGUUGUUCGGAUUUACUGGGCGUAAAGCGCGCGUAGGCGGAUCACUAAGUUAGAGGUGAAAUCCCGAGGCUUAACCCUGGAAUUGCUUUUGAAACUGCUAGACUAGAAUCCGAGAGAGGAUGGUGGAAUUCCCAGUGUAGAGGUGAAAUUCGUAGAUAUUGGGAAGAACACCGGUGGCGAAGGCGGCCAUCUGGACCGUUACUGACGCUGAGGUGCGAAAGCGUGGGGAGCAAACAGG
RNAcentral lists this ribosomal RNA (253 nucleotides) under uncultured bacterium. RNAcentral's name for it is "partial 16S ribosomal RNA". It matches the Rfam family "Bacterial small subunit ribosomal RNA", at positions 524 to 776 of the family's 1533-position model. The record is from RNAcentral.